GGCGGNCGACCUGGUUCCGACCCAGGCGGCCGGCGCNCCCNGCNNCAACUGGCCAGGAAGCUCGGGUAAGCGCCCNCCNNGAACAAAACUCAAGAAUUCAUUUUGUGAAGACCUGAUAAAUCAUUUAAUUGAUUAAAAUUUUCUACAACGGAUCUCUUGGCUCUGGCAUCGAUGAAAAACGCAGCGAAAGGCGAUAAGNAAUGUGAAUUGCAGAAUUCAGUGAAUCAUCGAAUCUUUGAACGCACAUUGCGCCCUCUGGUAUUCCGGANNGCUGNCUGUCCGAGNGUCAUUUCNACCCUCAAGNUCAGCUUGCNAUUGGGCUUCGUCCGCAGGUUCUCCCACNGAGGACGCUUCCNUCAAGGAUUCGAGGCGCCGCAAAAACGCUUCUAAUAGCNAGUAAGCUUUAGAACUCAGAACGGCCACGANUAANCGCUGGACUUAAGAUUAUCAAUAAGUNGANGAAGAACUU
RNAcentral lists this unclassified non-coding RNA (469 nucleotides) under Phyllosticta sp. 3 MS-2015. RNAcentral describes it as "sequence contains 18S rRNA gene, ITS1, 5.8S rRNA gene, ITS2, 28S rRNA gene". The stretch from base 137 to 289 matches the Rfam family "5.8S ribosomal RNA". Lineage: Eukaryota; Fungi; Ascomycota; Dothideomycetes; Botryosphaeriales; Phyllostictaceae. The record is from RNAcentral.